UACGUAGGCAGCAAGCGUUGUUCGGAGUUACUGGGCGUAAAGGGUGCGUAGGCGGCUUUUUAAGUUUGGUGUGAAAUCUCCCGGCUCAACUGGGAGGGUGCGCCGAAUACUGAGAGGCUAGAGUGCGGGAGAGGAAAGUGGAAUUCCUGGUGUAGCGGUGAAAUGCGUAGAUAUCAGGAGGAACACCGGUGGUGUAAACGCUUUCUGGACCGUAACUGACGCUGAGGCACGAAAGCGUGGGUAGCAAACAGG
RNAcentral lists this ribosomal RNA (252 nucleotides) under uncultured bacterium. Its description in RNAcentral is "partial 16S ribosomal RNA". It matches the Rfam family "Bacterial small subunit ribosomal RNA", at positions 524 to 776 of the family's 1533-position model. The record is from RNAcentral.